This 52-nucleotide small RNA is filed under the name Homo sapiens (human). RNAcentral describes it as "nc043 non-coding RNA". The record is from RNAcentral. Lineage: Eukaryota; Metazoa; Chordata; Mammalia; Primates; Hominidae.
UAUUUUUAAAGCGUAUGAUUAAUACACUUGCCUAUUGCUGCGUGGACUGUGC